UGAGUUUUGGGGAUGUAACUCUCAUGGUA
Molecule: non-coding RNA, 29 nt
Filed under: Mus musculus (house mouse)
Lineage: Eukaryota; Metazoa; Chordata; Mammalia; Rodentia; Muridae
Source: RNAcentral